GGUCCCGUGGUGUAGUGGUUAGCACUCAGGACUCUGAAUAUACUGGGACGGGAGUUCAAAUCUCUCCGAGACCU
This 74-nucleotide transfer RNA is filed under the name Loa loa (African eye worm). Its description in RNAcentral is "tRNA-Gln for anticodon CUG". It matches the Rfam family "tRNA". From Rfam's summary of the family: Transfer RNA (tRNA) molecules are approximately 80 nucleotides in length. Their secondary structure includes four short double-helical elements and three loops (D, anti-codon, and T loops). Lineage: Eukaryota; Metazoa; Nematoda; Chromadorea; Rhabditida; Onchocercidae. The record is from Rfam by way of RNAcentral.